Bicyclus anynana (squinting bush brown) is the source of this 759-nucleotide long non-coding RNA. RefSeq lists it as uncharacterized. NCBI's taxonomy places the organism in Eukaryota, Metazoa, Arthropoda, Insecta, Lepidoptera, Nymphalidae. The transcript has 2 exons. The record is from RefSeq and is a predicted model, not a curated record.
AGGGUACGGGUAGGGAAGCGUAGGGGUAGUGUAGGGGUAGGGUAGGUUUAGGGCCGGGUUUAGGGUAGUGGUAGGGUCGGGGUAGAGGUAGGGUAGUGGUAGGGUAGAGGUACGGGUAGGAUAGGGAAGUGGCAGGGUAGGGGUAGGAUAGGCGUGAUAUAGGGGUACGGGUGGGAUAGGGGUAGGAAAGGGAUAGGGUACGGGGAGGGUACGGGUAGGAUUGGGGUAGGGUAUAGGUAAGGUAGGGGUAGGGUAGGGGUAGGGUCGGGGCAGUGGUAGGGUUGGGGUAGUGAUAGGGUAGGGGUAUGGUAGGGGUAGGGUAGGUUAGGUUAGGUUAGGGGGUAGUAGUAAAAUUGACAUCGAAUUUUACGCAGACGAAGUCGCGGGCGUCCGCUAGUAAAUAAUAUAUUCUUUGCAAUGAACCUAUAAAGUCAAAACAAUGAAGUUAAUUGAGUGCUAUUAAUCGAUUUAUAUAGGAUGCUGAGACUUGGACUCUGAGAGAAAGAUAUUUGGAAUAUGCCCUAUAACUGCAGACUCCAAUAUUACAAAAAGCACCUGCAAUACAAUAGAAUAACAUAUUGGUGUGCUGAAGAAAAGAUGGCAAAGGCUUUUAGCUGAUAGGACAUUGUACUGAUGACCCUGUUAUCUGGUCAAAUCAUAAAUGUGUGUGUAUUAUCAAAAUAUUUGCAUAGAUUGUGAAAUGCUGAUGAUAUUUGAUUUGGUCUUUGAUAUUUGAAAAUAAAAGAAUACUUACUUCGC